AGAACUAUCAACAACCCAAGACGGCACAGUUGUAGACGAACACUCCGACAUGCUGCUUCUCAGCAAGUACCUUCCAAUCCAAGGUUCCGUUGUUAACCCCUGACUUGGGACACCACGAGUUUAGCACAACAUUUUCACCUUCGGGGCCUCUUUGCCCACCCACAACCAGAAGUUCAUUUCCACAAGCUUUAAAGGCCAGACCCCAGCCAUUUGAGAGAUCAGCUCUAACUGGAAGCCUUCCCAACACAUCCCACGUGUUCUUCAACUUGUCAUACUUCUUGACCAUGUUAGUCAAAUACUCAACUGCAUAUAACUGAUUAUCCACAACUGCAACGAGAGGAGGAGCCUGUGCAGCCCUAUUGACAUUUGGGUACAUCCCUUCUAUCUUCCUCCAUUUCCUGGUCUCAAGAUCAAACUCCUCCCCACAGGUCAAUGAAACAGUGGGACUUGACAUUCCACCAAUCACAUAGAAUUUUCC
This 478-nucleotide long non-coding RNA is filed under the name Citrus sinensis (sweet orange). Its description in RNAcentral is "long non-coding RNA (CSIN_LNC003644)". Lineage: Eukaryota; Viridiplantae; Streptophyta; Magnoliopsida; Sapindales; Rutaceae. The record is from RNAcentral.